Long non-coding RNA from Brassica rapa (field mustard), 300 nucleotides. RefSeq lists it as uncharacterized. The record is from RefSeq and is a predicted model, not a curated record. Lineage: Eukaryota; Viridiplantae; Streptophyta; Magnoliopsida; Brassicales; Brassicaceae.
GUAGGUAUCUUCCAUGGCGGACCACGUCAUGGUUAUCGCCGGCGAAUGGAAGAUGUCCGACGACGGAACUCAGGAUAAAAUCUUUCAAUUUGUGAGAGCCCCUCUUGUAGAAAAUUAUCUGGUUGAAUUUAACAGUUCUCGAUUUGAAAGUUUAAAUCUUUGAAUCAAAUAUGUUAUUUACGUUUAUGUGUUAUAUCAUGUGUACACUCCCUGUCUGGACAGUCUUCUCCAUGUGUACACACGAUCCAAUAUACAACUAUUUUUAUGAUAAUACAAGUGAACUGGUGUACAUGUGAAUCA